AAAAUAUUUAAACUCAGAGCUGUGCUUAGCUGCCCUCUGUUAUUUUUAUGCCAUUAAGGUUGAACUCAUUGUUGGGUCAUCGUUUCUUUUUCAGGUAAGAAAAAAAGAAUGUUGAGGGAUGUCCAGCCCUCAGGAGGCAGUGGAAAAUUUAUAAAGGGGCCUUAUGGAGAUAUAGGAAACUCUAGCAGUAGCAGUGAAGAUCCUUCUCUGGCAAGAAGAGCAGAUUAUAGAAACAACAGACUGCGUAAUCACAGCACAAUAGAAGAGUUAAAGAGAGUGUGUAUAGCAGAGAAGUCGCGUGGCCCUGCUGAUGAUACUCAUAUGUUUGAAGAAAACACUGAAGAUGACUUGGAUGUCAGUUAUUUUCAUAAGGCCAGCAUUGAGAAAGAAUUGUCUGGAGAGAGCAGCCUUGGAAGCAGUUAUGCUGGUAGUAGUGAUACUGAUGAUACGGUCGGCAGGGAUGAUCCCACCAGCCCAAGUGAAACAUCUUUGGACAGCCUAAUUUGGGAGAAAUAUUAUAGUGUGUUGUCUGUCAACCGCCAGAUGAACAUCCCCCAAGUCAUGGAGACACGUAUAUCUCUAAUUAAGAUUCAGUCCAGGAAGCAGAGAUUCCGUAUGUAUUCUGGAAUGUCUUUAUUAAGACACAUUGUAGAUAAGAAUUAAGCACUACCUAGACCACCAUUUUCAGAGUGACCUGAUAGCCACAAGAAGGGCAAGCAUAAUUUAGAACAACUGGUAUUCCAAGAGACACAUUCAUAGUCAUGUGUUUUUAGUUCUGUCAUUUAUUUUAGUAGCCUUUGGAUUUUGUAUCACAGAUCAUAUUUGCAUAUGUGUUCUUCUCCAAAAUACCUUCAUUUUCCAGUCAAUUUUGUCAAUUUGGUUAAUGAAAAAAAUUAAGGGUUCACACUUUCCCCACAUUAGUUGUACCUCACCACAGAUAUUCUCGAUUUCAUUUCUCAGCAUGUAUCCUGUUAAAGAAGGUCCUACCAGGCAAUGGGGACAUGUGACCAAGAGUAGUAGCUAGUGAGCACAAGAACAAAAUGUUUUUCCAGAUGGGAGGUGUAAAACUGACUUUCCUCACUAUAAACUGUGCCUUUUAUUCUAUCAAGGUUUGGGUAGAAAUUAUGGAGAAACCCUAGCUUUCCUGAAUAAUUCCAACACACAGUGAACUCUGAACAGUACCUUAGCUGUCUUGGUGGUCAAAUCUGAAAGAACAUCCAUUCAUUGUGCUGGAGAUACAA
Molecule: long non-coding RNA, 1241 nt
Filed under: Mus spicilegus (steppe mouse)
Lineage: Eukaryota; Metazoa; Chordata; Mammalia; Rodentia; Muridae
Description: lncRNA (ENSMSIG00000005421.1)
Source: RNAcentral